CCCGCACAAGCAGCGGAGCGUGUGGUUUAAUUCGAUGCAAAACGAAGAACCUUACCAAGGCUUGACAUGAUAGAAGUAGUGAUCCGAAAGGGGAACGACCUGUUGAGUCAGGAGCUACCACAGGUGCUGCAUGGCUGUCGUCAGCUCGUGCCGUGAGGUGUUUGGUUAAGUCCUGCAACGAGCGCAACCCCUGUUGCCAGUUAUAUUCUCUGGCGAGACUGCCUCGCAAAACGGGGGAGGAAGUGGGGAUGACGUCAAGUCAGCACGGCCUUUAUGCCUUGGGCUACACACACGCUACAAUGGGUGGUACAAUUGGUUGCAAUAGAGCGAUCUGGAGCUAAUCCUAAAAACCAUCCUCAGUUCAGAUUGCAGGCUGAAACCCGCCUGCAUGAAGUUGGAGUUGCUAGUAACCGCUUAUCAGCAUGGCGCGGUGAAUACGUUCUCGGGCCUU
This 451-nucleotide ribosomal RNA is filed under the name uncultured Chloroflexota bacterium. RNAcentral's name for it is "bacterial SSU rRNA". It matches the Rfam family "Bacterial small subunit ribosomal RNA", at positions 920 to 1382 of the family's 1533-position model. Lineage: Bacteria; Bacillati; Chloroflexota. The record is from RNAcentral.